GAUGAACGCUAGCGGCAGGCCUAACACAUGCAAGUCGAGGGGUAACAGAAGAGCUUGCUCUUGCUGACGACCGGCGCACGGGUGCGUAACGCGUAUACAAUCUACCUUAUACAGGAGGAUAGCCCUAAGAAAUUGGGAUUAAUACUCCAUAGUAAUAUUUUAUUGCAUGAUAGAAUGUUUAAAACUACGGUGGUAUAAGAUGAGUAUGCGUCCUAUUAGCUAGAUGGUAAGGUAACGGCUUACCAUGGCGACGAUAGGUAGGGGGCCUGAGAGGGUUAUCCCCCACACUGGUACUGAGACACGGACCAGACUCCUACGGGAGGCAGCAGUGAGGAAUAUUGGUCAAUGGAGGCAACUCUGAACCAGCCAUGCCGCGUGAAGGAGAAUGUCCUAUGGAUUGUAAACUUCUUUUUUAUUU
RNAcentral lists this ribosomal RNA (418 nucleotides) under uncultured bacterium. RNAcentral's name for it is "bacterial SSU rRNA". It matches the Rfam family "Bacterial small subunit ribosomal RNA", at positions 28 to 443 of the family's 1533-position model. The record is from RNAcentral.